UACGGAGGGUGCAAGCGUUAUCCGGAUUCACUGGGGUUAAAGGGUGCGUAGGUGGGUUGGUAAGUCAGUGGUGAAAUCUCCAGGCUUAACUUGGAAACUGCCAUUGAUACUAUCAAUCUUGAAUACCGUGGAGGUCAGCGGAAUAUGUCAUGUAGCGGUGAAAUGCUUAGAUAUGACAUAGAACACCAAUUGCGAAGGCAGCUGGCUACACGAAUAUUGACACUGAUGCACGAAAGCGUGGGGAUCAAACAGG
RNAcentral lists this ribosomal RNA (253 nucleotides) under uncultured bacterium. Its description in RNAcentral is "partial 16S ribosomal RNA". It matches the Rfam family "Bacterial small subunit ribosomal RNA", at positions 524 to 776 of the family's 1533-position model. The record is from RNAcentral.